Molecule: ribosomal RNA, 425 nt
Filed under: uncultured bacterium
Lineage: Bacteria
Description: bacterial SSU rRNA
Rfam family: Bacterial small subunit ribosomal RNA
Source: RNAcentral
UCGAGAAUCUUCGGCAAUGGACGAAAGUCUGACCGAGCGACGCCGCGUGCGGGAUGAAGGUCUUCGGAUUGUAAACCGCUGUCAGAGGGGAUGAAGUAUACAGAAGCAAUCUUCUGUAUUUGACAGAGCCUCAGAGGAAGCACGGGCUAAGUUCGUGCCAGCAGCCGCGGUAAUACGAACUGUGCGAACGUUAUUCGGAAUCACUGGGCUUAAAGGGUGCGUAGGCGGUUUUCUAAGUCACGUGUGAAAUCUUCCGGCUCAACCGGAAAACUGCGCGUGAAACUAGUGGACUGGAGUGAGGUAGGGGUGUAUGGAACUUCCGGUGGAGCGGUGAAAUGUGUAGAGAUCGGAAGGAACGCCAGCAGCGAAAGCGGUACACUGGGCCUUUUCUGACGCUGAGGCACGAAAGCUAGGGGAGUGAACGG